This 337-nucleotide unclassified non-coding RNA is filed under the name soil metagenome. RNAcentral describes it as "partial contains 5.8S ribosomal RNA, internal transcribed spacer 2, and large subunit ribosomal RNA". The stretch from base 1 to 120 matches the Rfam family "5.8S ribosomal RNA", at positions 35 to 154 of the family's 154-position model. The record is from RNAcentral.
GAUGAAGAACGUAGCGAAAUGCGAUAAGUAGUGUGAAUUGCAGAAUUCAGUGAAUCAUCGAAUCUUUGAACGCACAUUGCGCCCCUUGGUAUUCCAUGGGGCAUGCCUGUUCGUGCGUCAUUUGUACCUUCAAGCCUUGCUUGGUGUUGGGUGUUUGUCUCGCCUCUGCGCGCAGACUCGCCUCAAAACAAUUGGCAGCCGGCGUAUUGAUUUCGGAGCGCAGUACAUCUCGCGCUUUGCACUCAGAACGACGACGUCCAAAAGUACAUUUUUACACUCUUGACCUCGGAUCAGGUAGGGAUACCCGCUGAACUUAAGCAUAUCAAUAAGCGGAGGA